UUGCCGCCGUUUUGUCGCUUAUUAAGGUAGGUUGGAUUUAGUUACUUUGCACUUGUUUAAUGAUGCUGAUUCUGGUUUUUCUACAAUAACUACAGGAAUUUCUCGCAAUAACCGUUCAUGCUCCUCUGGAUUCUUAAGCUUGUGGUAGUUCUUCGGAUAGUUGAAGCAAGACACCGAGGUUAGACUAUGCAUAGCUGCAACCUUUGUCGCAGGCAACAGCAGCUUUGAGGCAUUUUUUGUCCACCGUUUUAAGAUGUAAUGGGAUGGUAAUGUAAGUACAUUUGUCACAGCGGAAACAGUUAAAACGCGCCUGCAAAGGAGGCUCGAAUACUCAAACAUUUGGCAGGUUAUGGCUGGUGUGAUCGGUUAUGGACCAGGUUGUAUGGUGCUCAAAUCAAGUUCAGUUAAAACCAAAGAAUCUCCUUCAAGUAAGCCACUUGGAAUAAAUCCUGAAAAUCUAUUGUUGCUAAGCUUAAGGAUUUGGAGAUCGUAAACAAAAUAGAAUCCAGAAAAUAUACAAUCUGCUCAAUGGAAUUCAUGAAUCCUGGAAUGGAGCCGAAGUGUAUUCGUAUUGCCGGCUGGAUUAGUUUUGCAGAAGAGAUUUUAGUUUUUUCUGCGUUUGCAUUUGGAAGGCUCGCAUUUCAUGUCGGCGUCUUCGGCCAGACCUUGCUUCUGCUCGGUUUUGGAGCCGUUGUUGCAACUUGCUUUUAGGAUGUUUUUGUUGUAUCAUGUGUUAUCUUCGUUUUAGUGAGCUCAAUCUAGUACAUCUUUGUGCUUUCUGAUAUCA
Molecule: long non-coding RNA, 787 nt
Organism: Lathyrus oleraceus (garden pea)
Lineage: Eukaryota; Viridiplantae; Streptophyta; Magnoliopsida; Fabales; Fabaceae
Exons: 3
Source: RefSeq, a predicted model, not a curated record